Non-coding RNA from Linepithema humile (Argentine ant), 328 nucleotides. The record is from RefSeq and is a predicted model, not a curated record. Lineage: Eukaryota; Metazoa; Arthropoda; Insecta; Hymenoptera; Formicidae.
AGCAAGUCGAGCAAGGUAAAAGCAGUUGGCAAGCGUAGUGACGCUAUUUCGAAUCGGACCGUUAAGGAAUCUAUUGAUUUGAACAAAAUCAAAUAGAUUAGUAUGACCUGUUGGGUCAUGAAUCCUUCAAUGCCGCGGACAAAUCGUGAUUAUUUUUCGCAAAACGUGCCUGCGUAGAAUAUUGAAUUGGAUAUCAACGAGAACUCUACGAGGAUAAAAGCAGCGCAGAUUAAAGGUGUUCAACGAAGGCGGACGUUGCGGUUUUUCGGUUGCUGUUACAGAAAUGGUGGAGUCAUGUUAUCAAGUAAAUGAAUUAAAAAUUAAUAGA